RNAcentral lists this long non-coding RNA (31590 nucleotides) under Malus domestica (apple). Its description in RNAcentral is "long non-coding RNA (MDOM_LNC002317)". Lineage: Eukaryota; Viridiplantae; Streptophyta; Magnoliopsida; Rosales; Rosaceae. The record is from RNAcentral.
AAGCUCUCUGCUGAAAGUUUCUAAUUCAUCCUUUAUUUCUUUUUUCAUCUGGGUCUUUUUUUGCUAGAUUUAUGUAUUUUUUUUCCCGUGAAUUCGAACUGAAAUUGGAAUUACUGAUUUAGAAGAAACAAUUCGAUGAAUUUUUUUAUUUGCGUGUAUGUGUUGGUCCUGUUCUUGAUUUGUUGUGUUUUUUUUGCUGUUACUGCGGUGAAAAAAGUUCAUAGAUUUCUGAUUCUGGAGGACCCUUUGUGAAUUUUAUCUGAAUUUGAAUAAUUUUUUAUCUGGGUUUAGAGUUACAUCUGUGAUUUGUUGUUUAUGUGGUGAAAAAAUGGGUUGGCUUUAUAUUUUUUCAUGGGACUUAAUUUGUGUUUAAUAUUACAAAGAAGGGUGGAGGGAUUUUGAGAUUAGGGUAAGUUUUUAGGAAUUGCUUUGGAGCUAAAGGUUGUUGCUUGAGAAAUUAAUAAGCUUUUCUGAGACCAGGUUUUGGGUUUUGAAUUCUGCCCUUUUCUUUGUAGGAGUUUAAGAUUAGGAUCAAUGGUUUUGCAUAGGGAAAAACUUGAUUUGUGGGUGAGAUAGUAUUGGGUUUUGUGGGAUGUUCACCUUGCUUCGACGAUGAAUGUUACAGCGUGGUGUUAUGUUAAAAGUAGGACGCUGGUGCAAAGAAUAUUAAUUUGUUUGUCGUGAACGAAAGCCGGUGGUGCUGCUUUUUCUCCAGCUAUAACUACCUGAUUCUUUUAGUUUUCAGCUUGGUAGUAUAUUUGCUUAUGAUGCCCAUAUGUAGGCAAGUUUGUAAUGUUCAUCAUGGUCUUGAAAUUCUGGUACAACCCUCAGUUUUUUUGUGUCUUGCGUUCUUCACAGAAUCAAAAGUUUGUUUUGUUUUUUUCAGAUCCUUCAAUUCUUAUAGUUUUUUAGAAGAAUUGUAGCAUCAACUUUUGCAUCAUUAGUUGACAUUCCUCCUUGAUGCAUAUCUAUGUAGUAUUUCUGCAUUUGCUUUUAGCUCUAGAGAUGUGCAUCAAGGAAGAUGGUAGUCUAAUAAUGGCGUAGAGCAAGUGUCACAUAUUUGUAAAAGCUUUACAAUCAUUUACCAUUAAGAGUGUAAAGGAAUGCAUAAUGUAAGCGAAGUGUCUGCCGCAACAGUUCUAAUAGGAUUUAUUAACCUAAAAUAGGAGCCUUUAACUAAAGUCUUGUUGUCGUUUUUCGUUGGUUAGUCAUUUGACGGCAUUGGACAUCAUCUAUCCGUGUAUUUAUAGUUCUACCCAGUAAUCCAUACGAAUUUUAACUUUAAUAGUCUAUCUCUGAUCUAAAAUUUGAUAUUUUGAGAAGUUUUUGGUGUCGGAGUAUUGUUCUUUUGUCACCGUAAGAUUGAACAUCAAGCUAUUGUAGUUACUUUCUCUGGUAGCUGUUUUUCUAGUGGGUUUAGAAACGACCACAUGGUACAAAUUAAUUCGGGGUAAAUUUUGAAGAAACUCCCAAAUUAAGAGCGUUGUCAUCAUGUAGUCCCAGCAUACUUUUGAUUGGUGUUUCCCAAUUGCAUGAUUGGUAUUUUAUUUUUAUUUUUGUGGUCUGAAUACUCCUAUAUACGGGCUUCUUUCACUGCCCAAACUGUCAUUGAUUCGAAAUUGUGCAUCGUCAAAUUGAUUGCAGUCAGGUCCAUUGGCUAUGAUAACCUAAAUUCUUAGCUUACGCUCUCUCGUUUCAUUUAUAUGAUAUUUCACUAGCUGAAAUUUUCUACUAUGUAUCACUAUGUUUGAGAAGUUGAACCAUAUUUUAUGAUCUUACUCUUUUUUCUGGGAACUAAUAUAAAGUUCUUUUAUCAGGACACCAAGUGACAAAAGAGAUGGUGAAGGCAUACACGCAAGAGUACACAUACAAGCACCCAUGGGACCGGGUGACUUCCGCAUCAUGGAAAAAAUUUGCUGAUGCUGAAAACAAACGCACGCUAUCACACAUCCUUGAAGUUGACACUCUGAACCACAAGCUUGAUCCCAGCACAGGAAAGCUUUACACCACACGUGCUAUCACGGUCCAUGCGCCAGGACCAUGGUUUGUCCGCAAAAUUGUUCGCCAGGAUGUCUGCCACUGCGUCGAGUCAACAGUUGUGGAUGCGCAAGCACGAUCAAUGCAACUCACCACCAAUAAUAUUAGCCUUGAAAAGUUCAUAGAGGUGGAGGAGAAGAUCAGGUAUGAUCCCCACCCAGAGAACCCAAAUGGCUGGACAUUAUGUCGACAGGAGACUAGCAUUCGAAUCAAGCCGUUAUCAGCAUUGGCAUCGAUGGCGGAAAAGGUUGAACAAAGAUGCGCUGAGAAGUUUGUGCAGAACAGUGCCAAGGGCAGAGAGGUCAUGGAGAGGAUAUGCAAGUAUCUUGAAGCUGAAUCUAAAGGGAUUUCUAUCUAACCCGGACCGGACUUUUGUAGUGUUAGGUCAGAGGGCUUGUGAACCCUCUCAAAGUAUAAAAUAAUAGAAGCCGGAAAGAGUGCAGAACCGAUAACUAUUUUCUAACCGUUGAAUCUCGUCGAUCGAAAUUUUGGCACAGAAUGCAUCAGUUUUGCAUUAUACGUAGUUCAUGUAUUGUGCUCCCUUGUGUUGGAUGACUUGCCCAGUUCUAUAUCCUUGUGCACGAUCCAAAAGUUUUCUAAUUGCCCUGUUUGAGGGAGCAGUUGAAUGCGAAACCUCGAGGGCAAAAGCUGUGCUAAAACUCCAUUGCAUUUAUUAACUGCCAUUUUCGUCCUUUUUUUUCUCUGUGACGACGGUUAUGUUUUGAGUUCUGAAACUGAUAAAACCAUAUGAAACCUAAGAGUUUGUUUAGUACUUUACUUGAAACCAACCUUUUAAACUCAAAUACAAUUUUCAAAAUUUAGGUCUUUAAAACUUGUUUGAUAGGAUAAUUUUUAAAAACUGAACUCAAGACUAACCCAAAAAUAUAGUAUAUUCUCUAAAAAUAUAAAAAGUGAGUUUUUAGAGUUUUUAAACUUAAACUCACUCCUUUGCCUCCCCUCCAAUCCGUUAUCUUCAUUCUUUCGAUUCUUUCUCUCACUCAUCUUCCUCUCUAUCUCGUCCAAUCCUCUCUUCUUUCUCUUUCCUUCAAUCAUCUUUACUUUCUUUCCUACUCUCUCCUGUUUUUCCCUCCUAGAUCCCCUCUUUUUAAAUCUCUUUGUCUAGUUUAAGUUGUAAGAUUUAAAACUUUUAAAUCGCAAACCAAUCAAGUUUUUAAGUCUUAAAAAAAACUGUUUUCAAGAAAUGUAAUUUUCAAGUAAGAUACCAAACUGGCCCUGAAUAUUUACAACAUGCAUGACAACACGAUGGACCAGAAAGGAAGGGUAAAUAGAUUUAUGCAUGGAAACCACAUCAAUACUUUACAAUACAAGAUCCACUUGACAUGUAAUAGAAGAAAGAAAUGCGAUAUAAACAGCGCGUAGACGCAUUACGUAGAUUAACCCGAACCAUGUCCACCAAACCGGCACAGACUACAACUUAGAAAGACACGAGGCAACACAUAAAGUUCUCCCAAUCACAACAAAUACAGAGUUCUUCGGAGUGCAGAGAUGCCUAGAUCGCCUUGGCACCCCAGUAGGUAUAACAUCAUAAAACGGCAAGUGCUAAGAUACCGCUGCAAACUCUGAAGCCAUCUCGUGGAUGAAAACAAGCAUCAAUUUCGAAAAUGAAACUUCACUGCAUCAGGCUUUAGAUUUUAUCGAGCUUCUCAGCUUUUACGACCGGGUUGGCUUUCGCAAUAGCAUCACGUCCAGCAGUGCGAUAAUCGUAAGGGCAGUCAUGUUUGUCUGAAUAACGAUGUACUGCACAAAAUAGGUGACCACACCGACAAUUGAACCCUGUUAGUCCAACCCGCUUGUUGCAAGUGUUGCAACGUUUUGGGCCCUCCGGCUUUGGCUCACCAGAUGACCCUGAACCAAAGGAAAAUGAUGGUUGCGAUGAGAGAGUUUUUGGCUCCACUGGAUGGGGUUGAACAUCCACAGUAGCAGCCGCAACAACAGGCUCAUUUGCAUUGAUGCUUGAUGUUCCGUUGACAAUGCUUCCAAAGGAUGAUGCAGCAAGCUUCGCCUGCUCCUGUUUCAACAUCAUAUCCUUGUGACACUUGGAACACAUAUUCAUAGUAGCCGCGCUUCCAAAAAACCCACAGUUGUUUACACAUAAAAUAGGACCUUCAGGGGCUGCUUGGCAUCCAGUCUCCUCGUGCUCCAUUUUUUCAACUUACCUGCGAAAACCAACAAUUAAUGGGGUGCAGCUUAUUAAGAGUGAAAACUUACAAGUCCGCCACACACACGCAACCAAAACAACAAACACAUGAAAAACUCAGCAAACACGCCACUUAUAAUGAAAAUAAUGCUCGUGGUGCAAUUUAAUGCUGGUAUAUAAGCAAUGAAAAUACUAAUUUUUUGUUUGAAAGGAAAAAGUUGUUAAGACUGCAUACGAUUCCAUGUUACUUAAUAUCGAAGAACGUGAAGUCAGGGUAUUUCAUUAUCUUUAUAACUUGCACACAACAACUCAUCUUUAAACAGAAAACGUUUAGAUUUCAAUCCACAAAACCCGUAUAACAUCACUAACAACAUCCAAAGAUGUUAAACCUGUAAAAGGCUUAUUGAAUUUGCAUCAUAUGAACAUAUGCUUGUAAAUUCAAUAAGACAUAAAAAUAGAAAACCGCUAAUUGAGCUAUAAAAAUCAGAAGCGAAAUCUUUAUUAUAAUCUGCGAACGGACAUUCGUCAUGCCAACAAGUAUAGUAGUGAAGCUACAUAAACACCUAUCAACCAACUGAUAGCAAUUACAUACAAAAAAUAAAAUCUAAUCAUUAUAGACCACCUGAUUUGUGCCAAAGUUCAAACUCAACCUCAGAUUUAUGGCCAAUUAGCAAUUACAAUCUACAUAAUACCGGACCUUUGACUCGCAAACUUUCACUAAUCAAUCAUCCAUAUAAAUAAUCCACACCCCAAAUUGCAAAUUUGCAGAAAACCCAUCGAAAACACCUGGAAUCAACAAAAACAGGGUAAUCAACACAAAAAUCCCCAAAUCCCAAAUUUACAGAGAACCCCUAAAAAAACACUUCAAAUCUACAAAAACCCAAACUUGGUCAGCUAUACAAACACACAUAUACACAUGCAUACAUCCAAAAUUGCAAAUUUGCAGAGAACCUUAAAAACACUAAAAAUCAACAAACAAAAAAAAACCCCCAAAUUUGGUCAGCUAUAUAAGCACAUACACACACAAAUAUAUAUACAUGCACAGAAACCCUACCCUGUUAAAACAAAUCUCUUGAAAUUGAACCUACCGAUUCACGAGCUCAGAAUCGCAUCGGACACUAAGUCCCUGUUCACCAAAAAACCAAGAAUUACAAUCAGAGAGUCAGUAACCGAAUACGAAGAUCAAAGGAAGCCCUCGAUCAAAAGCAGAAAAAUUGAACCAAACACAAAGAAAUCAAGCAGUAAUCAAAAUUAGGGGAUUUUCAAAACCCUAACCCUAGCAGAUUUUGGAUCGCCCGAGGAGAGAGAAAGCGAGAGCCAGCCAGAGAGAGAGAAAGUCGUGUUUCGCUAUUUUUCCUGUGCGACGCUCCCGUGCAAUUUAACAACGACCGUUUCUAUUAUGAGGCCGACGUGGCGGUUUCCUAUUGGCGGGAGGUCUUACCUCCGUUGUCCUGAAAUUCCUCUUUUGUCCCUUUUCUGAGGUGCUAAUAACGGUUUUGGAAAAGGUUAGGGAAAUAUGGUGGUGAUGUUAGGUGUAGUGGUCGGUUAAUCACAAUCGUAAUGUUUGAGAUUUUCUUUUCCAAGUCAAAAUCAAUAAUAUGGUUGUAGAUUUUUUGGUUGGAUACCAAACACAAUUUAGAUAUCUAUAGUAAGGUUCGAAAAAAACACUAGUCGAGCGACCUAAAGAGUUUAGGCGGAUUUUUUAAUGUAGUUAACUUUAUUAUAUAGCAAUAAAAACAUAUAAAUAAGUACUACAAUUGAUUGAGUACAUAUAAUAAAAUAUGUAUUCAAAGUGUAAAGUUCUUUUAAAAGAAAUUAUUUUCAAAUUCUUAACCUAAAAAAAUAAAAUAUUGAAUCGCCUACGAUCGUGCCUAAUUGUCUCGUGGAGGCUUCACCGAUUUUCUAAACGCCUAGGGCUUAGUCAGGCGCCAGGCCUCUGCCUAGUGCAUGGGUGUUCAAUUAUACCGCUUUUUAGAACAACGGUCUAGAGUAAGAAUUCGUAUUUGCAACGAAAAAAUGUACUAGUCAUUCACGAAUUUAAUUAAAAUGUAAACAUGUCUUUUCGAUUGCUAAAAAGUGUACAAAUAAGAGUACAUGUCAACUUGAUCAAUAUAAAACACAAAUUCAUGGGUUAGAUAAUCACGGGUUUAAUAAAGGCUUAUGAAAAAGUAUAUUAGAGAUUUUAAGAAAUAAUGUUGUCUUGAUGAAAUUCUUUCCUACUGGCAAUAUACCUUAAAUUAAUCUACACAGCAGGAGUAAAGAUUCGAGCUCUAAGCAAUGUGACUACACUUACAUGUGUUGUUGACCAAUUUAGUUUUAAUAGAUUUAUUAUUUCUAGGAGAAAACUUAACAAUUCUUAAGCAAUUUUGAUGAUAGAUUGAAAAUUAAACAUAACAUAUAUGGUUGGAAAAAUUGCACACAAACUCUAUAGUUUAACUUCCAUUUGGUUGCUUAUCUUUCACUCUCAAUCAAACUAUGAACUGCAUAUGAUGGGUGACACCUCAACCACAUAUAUUAUGGUAGUGAUGAUGAUAUCUAUGGAACCUCAAAUUGCAAGCAAACACUGCCUUUACAAAUUUUGAACAUAAAAAGGUUUGCAAAUCAGUCACGAAUGAGUUCUAUUUUUCUCCCUUUGCUUUUGCCUCAAAUAUUCUCUCUCUCUUUAUACUUUAAAACCUCAUUUGUGUUUGAUUUAAAGCAUGUCCUAGAGUAUUUUCAGCCAUCACCUUCUUUUUUUCAGGUCUUGUCUAGCUAAUCUUUAAGCAGUACUGUUGUCUUGAUUACUGUUAGUCAUAUGGUUUCUCCAUGAUUCCUUUUUAUUCGACUUGCAUGCUACUCUCUUGUGCUUCGAUUAUUCGAAGGUGGUUCAUGGAACUACGAAUGAUAAUAUGGUAUCAAAGAUGGAAGUGACGCGGUUGUAGAAGAGGUGUUUAAGGGCCCCUGUUUAGCACAACUUUUGGUCUCGGAGUCAGAUUUUGAAAAUUUCUCUCACAACCUUUGGUAUUCCAGAAUUCUUUUCCAAGGGUGACUGUUCGUAAUCCCUAAUCCAUAAGUUCCUCUGUGUCAGGAAGAUUGUGAGUAAUAGAGCAAAUUGGGGGAGAAGUUUUUGGAACUGGUCUCUUGUUCUUCACAAAUUUGAGAGAAGGAAGUAAGAAAAUCGUAUGUAAGUUUUUCCUUUUCUUCCUUAUUCCUUCUUGCAGAUGAAUUUGAUAGCAAAUCAAAAGUACACAAAUAUUGUUCAGUGCAAAGAUUCAUGGGUGGAACAAAAAAGGUAACAAUUUGCUAAGCAUAUGUUAUUGUCUUUCAGAAAGUUUCUGCAACCUCCAUUUAAUUCAAGAAAUGUAUUCUUCCAGAUUAGAUAGUUAGAACUAGAUAAGAUCUAUGGGAACAUAUUUUCUGCGACCUGCUUUGUGCUUAUUUAUAUUGCAUUCUUUGGUUAAAAUACAUUUGGACCAUAUCAUUAACUUAGCUGCAAUCUUUUAAUUAGAAAAAUCUCAUACUUCUUUGAUAUAAGGAAGAGAGAAUUCUUCGGAGAAGAUCGUUUGUUGAAGCAAUCGAAACACAGGCCUUACCGAAGAAACCAAGACCGGCUUUCUACAAACACCUUUCACCCCUUUAAGACAUAACAUUAUUAGGAUUCAUGCUAAGUAAAGCAUGGACAACCUUCCAUUGUCAUCCUCUCUACGCAAAGUCCAACCCGUUGCAUUAGGCAAGUAUGUAGAUUAGCCCAAUAUUGCAAACUUUGAUCUGAAUUCGCUUAUAUGUAUUUUCCAACUACAUGUGCCAUUGGUCAAGAGAGCUUCUUAUAGAUAAACCGUACAGCAAUAAAUCAGAUAUAUGAUCUCUAGGUUACGAAAUUUCCAUUAGCGUGGUUUUAGUUAAUUUAGUUGAGCAUGGCAAAUUUGUAAACCUAAUCGACCUUCCUACGAAUGAAAAUCUGGUUUUAUAACAGCUCCUUGCAGUUAGCUUCACAUCUAUUUGUUUGUAUAAAAGCAUAAACAUAAAGUGACACUUCCAUGUCAUAGAAAAGUUGCAGAAGAAGAAGAUGAUCUCAGUUUUCUCUGGUGGAAUCUCAUCAAUUAAUUCACAUGAUCAGCUGUUGAUCACCUCCUACAUUUCUCCAUUCCCAAUUUCUUUUCAUGAUAUUUUGAAUUGGCAAUAAAAUAAAACACGAAACUAUCCUUUUCUUUACAUGAUUAAAUCACUAAGUUGUUGAUAUAGUAUUGAUAAGCCGUGAAUAACAUUGGUAGAUAGCAAGUCAAUAGCAGAACAUAUCAUUGUCUUUAUUGAUAUACAUCCACAUUAUCUAUCGAUACAAAUUUCGUCCUUUUGACAAGAAAACAAAAGUAUGAUAAAUAAUAUUUCAUGCGUGUGUAUAAUAUCGUUAAACUAUCAAUGACAUUAGUAGAUAGCAAGUCAAUAGUAAAAAGUAUCAUUGUAUUAUCGAUAUACAUAUUACCCCAUUAUCUAUCUACACGAAUUCAUCCGUUUAUAUAUAGUUGGACCAUGAUUUUCUAGGCCCAUGACACGUGGCACUUUAGGUGGCAAGAAGGACCAGAAUGCCCAUAACCUAUGAAGUGUAGUCAAACAGUCUUAGUCAAACAUGCUAGGCUUAAGCCCAUUGAAAAUAUUACUUGUGUCCCAAGUAAGGAAAUCCUAAUUCAAGGCAAUUUAAUUAGGAUAUCUUGGGAUUAAGCAACGUAAUCAAAAUCCUAGCAAAAUUGGAUAUAUUAUCCUACAUUCCCUCCUAAAUAGUCUCUCGAUUAAAUGGAAUUACUCUUCCUACAGGGACUGUGAAGAUCUCUAUAAAUACCCUAACUUGGGCAUUGAUCGAGCAUGUCGAUCGACGAAUUAAUCAAUCACAACUGAAGAUACAUCUCUCUUAUAUUCUCUCUAUGCUUAACAUAGGCUCAUUUUGCAUCCACGCGGUCUACGCGCAAACACGUCCAUGGAGAACUCAUCUCUUUAAUGGCCCACCAUAGCCUAUUCACCAAGGAUGGUUCAUGAUGUAGCACACAUCAGACCAUUCUUUCUUAGAACUACACUACCGAUUUGAUUCUUCUUCCCGGAGAUAUGUAGGCAUUCUGAUCUGGAUUCAACCACACCCCCCAAUUGUGUGACCAUGAUCUCUGGGCCUAUGACACGUGGCACUUCGAGUGGCAAGAAUGGCUGAAAAGCUUAUAGCCCAUGGAGCGCAGUCUGAGAGCCUUAGUCCGACAAGCUAAGCUUAAGGCCUAUUGAAGAUCAUGUGCAAUUAACCUCUUAUUCCCCUCACUAAAGAUCAUGUGCAAUUCUAACUAGAUUUCGUCUCCGUCUAGGGAUUUGCGCGUUUUUGGUUCCAACACCAAUCAACCCCAUUCACCGGAGAUCAUGGACAAUUCUAACUGAAUUUCGGUUCCAUCCGCGGAUGUGUGAGAAUUUAGUUCCAACAUAUUGCACUAAUUAAACUGGUGGAAUUGCAAAUGAAGCAAACACAUGAUAAACAAAGAAAGAUUAAUAAACGUAGCCAAGAAGAAUAAUAUGAGUAAAUAGCGUUAUAGCUUCAUUUAUUGGGGAACAUAUUAAUUACAUGCACACACCCUAAUUAAAAAGAUGAUCAAGUACUUCUCUCGUCCUAUUUUAUCACUUAAUUAACAAUUUAGUUCAAGUAAAUGGCCAAGAAGGACAAGAGUGAAGCUCCAACCAGAGAUCCAACGGCGUUCAUGUUGCUUCCACUAGGUGCUGGAGCAGAAGCUCCAGGGCCAGCUGCGGCUGCAGCGGUGGGGGUGCCAGCGGGGGUGGCUGCAGCGGUUGUGGCUGCGGCAGGGGUGGCUGCUGUGGGGGUGGCUGCGGCGCCCUUUACAGGUUCAGCGUUGGCGGCUGCGGCGCCUUUUACAGGUUCAGCAGCCAUUGCUGCGCUUAUGCAGACAGCAACUACAAGGACAACCAAGGCAAUACUCUUCAUGGCCAUUUUGUGGGUGGCGUGUGGUCGGUCGAGGGAUCGAAAACACGCCUUGUAAACGGAUGUUAAGAAUUUAGAGUAUUGUAUUGAUCUCGUAGUAGUUUGUAGCUGUCCUGAGGAAAAUAGGGAGAGCCUUGGGGGUUAUAUAGCUUUGGAGUUUCUAACUAUGGAGGAGCAUGUUGGUUAUUUUUGGAAUAAAUCUGUUGGGUUUUGUUUGAGGUAGGGAACGGUUCUUAGGUCCGUGUGCUUUGCAUGAACAACGCCGCCUAUAAUGGUAUAACAAAAUAACAAAUGAAAUGCCACCUGUAUAGCUUAAAUAAUUUAGAGUGUUGCCCCUACUAUCGAGUUAUUUUGUUUGUAUCUCUAUUCUUCUAUUAUCAAACUCAUUUAGAAGUGCUUUUAAAAUGAUUGAAAACACUUUUAGUGAAAAUAUUUUAAGACCAUCGAGUUAUUUUGUUUGUAUCUCUAUUCUUCUAUUAUAAAGCUCGUUUGGGAGUGAUUUUACAAUGAUUGAAAACAUUUUUAGUGAAAAUAUUUUAUAACCAAUCCUUAGUUAUAAUUCAAGUAAAUCCUAAAAAAAUAUUUAAUGUGCUUCUUGCGAAAACACCUUAAGUGAUUUUAGAACCUAAAAACAUUUUCUCUAGAAGUGCUUUCAGUAAUUUUAAAAGUACUUCCAAACAAGCCCAUAACGUGUAUCUCUAUUCUCCCAAUAUUACUUGUAUCUUAAAACUACAAAGAAAUUAAUUAAAGAUGAUUUUAUUGAUAGUUGAUAUUAUUGACACUCUAAAAAAUCAUUUUGUACUUCUCAAAUUUAUUUUUCUUUCUAAAUAUACAAAAUUAGAAGUGCAUGUCUCAUAAUUGUUAAACAAACCUACAUAUUGAACAAAAAUGCACAUUUACUUUUUAGUAGGGGGAUUAUCUUAAAACACUCACUUAACAUACCCAAACUACUCUCACACACACCCUCUUCAUGUAACACAGUUCUGUAGUGUAGGAUACAACUGUCUUGCUCUCCUAAGAUUCUCAUUUUGAGGACCAAAUGCAUAUUAGCCACAAGAUUAUAUUAGUUUAGAUCCAAAAGUUUAAAAUAUUUGACAACUUAAUAAAACAAAACCAACUUAAAAUUUAUGAACCAUAAAAAAAAAACUCAUUUUCUUGUUUUGUUUUAUUAAGUUGUUAAAUAUUUUAUGCCUUUGGAUCUAAACUAAUAUAAUCAUGUGGCUAAUAUGCAUUUAGUCCUCACUGAUUCUCAAAAUGAAGACAUUAGGAGAGUAGUACUCCACUACUCAGGUACAACAAUUGUUACAACCAGUCCAUAAUUUUAUUUUAUUUAAAAAAAAAAUGUGAAACGAUCAAAAUGCCCUUAGAGGUAUGUGUUGACUUUCAUUGACUUACUGGUCAGGACACAUGUGACAUAUUAAUUAGUAUAUUCUAACAACACUCGUUAUUAUGAACGACUAAUCAUAAACAUAGCGAAAAUUAGAACUAGAAGAAAGAUUCUACGAAACACGUAUUAAUCAUUUUAUUUAAAGUAGUGGAAAAGAUAAUAACGCUAGUUAUAAAAUAUUAGUGAUGGAAUAAAAAUAAAUAAUUAUAGAGAAAUAAAAGAGAAGAGGGGAGAACUCUCGAGAAGGGGAGACGUCGGUGGAGAAGAAAGAAAAAAAAAGAAGGAAGGACGAUGGGGAUGGGGGAUUCUUGUUGCUGUGGAUGUUGAGAUCAGCGGGAACUCCCCCAUGCUUCAGGUUUGAGUUGUAUCGUUUCAUCUCUAUAAAAUACUAACAUGUGUCAAAAUAUAGAAAUAGAUAUCUAGCACUUCAACGAUAGAGACCAGUGUAAACCUUACUGUAUUCUGAUAAAGAAGAUAGAAGGAAGAUGGACGAGGGAAAUGUUUACAGAGAGGGAGAGAGAGAGAGGGAAGAAAGAUCUUUUUUCCAUUCAACAUACACACAUACACUGAUUACUGUUAUAUAUCAGUUUACAUGUUUACACAUUCCUUAUAACUACCCAAUCUAACUUCCUUCCUUAUCUAAUGACAAGUGGCAUCUUAUAAGCCAUUGGAUCACUAUCCUCAACAUCCCCCCGCAAGCUCAGGAGAGGAGUAACCUAACCUGAGGUUGUUACAAUGCGUUCGAAACAAUGGAGCAGAUAAUCCCUUAGUUAAAAUAUCAGCAAACUGAUCACCAGAGGUAACAAAUUGAACCUGCAGCAACCUUUUAGCAACUCGUUCUCGCACAAAAUGGAUGUCCACCUCAAUGUGUUUAGUUCGCUGAUGCAAAACUGGAUUACACGACAAUGCUAUUGCUGACAUAUUGUCACAGAAAAGAAUAGGUGGAGUAGUAACUUGAAUUUGGAGGAAGUCAAGUAAUUGUUUAAUCCAGUCAAGUUCAGCUGCAGUGGUGGAUAAGGCCCUGUAUUCAGCCUCAGUAGAUGAUCUAGAUACUGUUUGCUGCUUCUUAGAGGACCAAGAGAUGGGGUUAUGACCAAGGAAUACUACAAAACCGGUUGUUGAUCUCCUGUCGUUAGGAUCACCAGCCCAAUCAGCGUCUGAGAAAGCAUGUAAGUCCAUAGAACCUGGCACAUAGUUAAUACCAAGCUUGACAGUACCCUUAAGAUAUCUGAGAAUCCUUUUUACUGCAACAUAAUGUGAUUCCAUAGGCUUGUGCAUGAACUGACACACCUGAUGUACUGCAAACGCAAUGUCCGGCCGUGUAAAUGUGAGGUAUUGUAAAGCUCCAACUAUACUCCUGUAAAGUGCAGGAUUGUUGAAAGGUUUCCCAUCAUCCAACAGCAGCCUAUUAUAUGGUAAACAAGGUGUGGCACAAGAUUCUGAUUCUAACAUCUCAGUCUUUGUAAGAAGAUCAGUAACAUACUUUGUUUGGGAUAGGAAUAAGCCAUCAACAUGUUGAAUGAUCUGAAUCCCCAGAAAGUAGUGUAAAGGACCUAAAUCCUUGAUUUCAAAUUCCUUGGUUAAUGCAGCAAUGACAUCAACCAUAACGGAUGCAGUGUUUCCAGUGAUUAUUAUAUCAUCCACGUAUAAUAAGAGAAUCACAACUGAGGAACCACCUUGCUUCACAAAAAGUGAUGAAUAUGCAUAAGUUGCAUUAAAGCCAAUAGUAGGAAGAAAACUGGUGAAUCUGUCAUUCCAAGCCCUCGGGCCUUGUUUAAGGCCAUACAGAGACUUAUGGAGUCUGCAAACAUAAUCUGAACGGUGAACAUCAAGAAAUCCAGGUGGUUGAGACAUAUAAACCUCAUCCUGCAAUGUGCCAUGAAGAAAUGCAUUCUUCACAUUUAGUUGUCUUAGUGUCCAACCAAAAGUAGCUGCCAAGGCCAACACAAAUCUUACAGUAGUUGGUUUGACUACGGGACUAAAUGUUUCCCCAUAAUCAACGCCUUCUUCCUGAUUAAAACCUUUAGCAACUAGCCUAGCCUUAUACCUCCCAAUUGUUCCAUCAGCAUUUCUUUUAAUCUUGAAUACCCAUUUACAUCCAACUAAGUUUUUAGUUGGAGGUAAAGGUACUAAAGUCCAUGUGCCCUGAGAAUGUAAUGCAAAAAGCUUUUCCUUCAUUGCAUUGACCCAAACUUCACUCUUUAAUGUUGACUUAUAGGUGGCAGGUUCAACAGUCGAUAAAUCGACCCCCUCAUUCUCAUGAAAAGUUGCUAAAAGAGCCUUCUUCUUGGAAAUCCCACUUUUUGACCGAGUUUGCAUUGGAUGCAAAUUCAAUGAAGGAAUGGGGAGUACCACUUGUAAGUGCUCUGGUUGGAAAUCAGGGGUCACAGGGAUAACGGAAGAUGAUGAAUGUUCAAUUGCAGUAAUGGAUUGUGAAGAGUGUUGCACUACUGGAGGAUCAGGGGAUGGUGAUAUGAAAACAAGUGGUGGAGAGUCUGGAGGUGGUGAAUGUGGUAUUAAGGUAGGCUGAGAAGGACUAGAGUGUGAUGUGGAAGAAUUAGGGGUAUGGACAAUCGAAGAUGUAAGCACAUUUUGAAGAUUAGGGACAGGUAGAGGUAUUGAUGCUGAUAUAGAUGAUGAUCGAGACACUGGUAAAGGAUGUGGAGCAGCCAAAGAUGAGUAAGGAAACUCAUUCUCAUCAAAGAGGACAUGUCGAGAAAUAAAGACUUUCUUUCUGGACACGUCAUAACAGAUGAAACCUUUGUAUUUAGAAGCAUAACCAAGAAAUACACAUUUACUGGUUCUAGGUUGCAACUUGGUUGAAUUAAAAGGCCUUAACAGUGGGUAGCAUGAGCAGCCAAAAAUUCUUAAAUGGUUAACUUCAGGGACAUAUCCAAAUAGGACUUCAAAUGGUGAUUUAUGAUGAAGUGUUUGAGUAGGCAUUCUAUUAAUGAGAUAAACUGAGGUUUGACACGCAAAGGACCAGAAACUUGGAGGUAACUUAGCUUGUUGUAACAGGGUGAUGGAUGUUUCAAUAAUGUGUCUGUGCUUUCUCUCGGCCAUACCAUUUUGUUCAGGUGUGUGAGGACAUGACAUGUGAUGAGUUAUUCCAUUUUGAACUAGAAAGGACUGAAAUUGCUUGCCUAUGUAUUCACCCCCACCAUCACUUUGUAAGGUUUUAAUGGAAACAGAGAAAUGAUUUAACACAUACUGAUAAAAGGCAGCAAAGACAGAACAAACAGCUGAUUUAUUAGUGAUAGGAAAAAUCCAACAGUACCUUGUAUAUUCAUCUAUGAAGGUGACAUAGUAUUUAAAACCUUCUAUAGACAUACAAGGGGCAGGGCCCCACACAUCACUAUGAACAAUCUUAAAUGAUUUAUUGGAUUUUGACAAAACAGGCAUAAAAGGCAAUUUGCUAAAUUUUCCCUCUAAGCAUGUAGUACACAACAUUGGAGAAGAAUCUGGUACCACAUGUAUGUUGGACUUUUUAAGAAUGAGAGAGGUUAGGGGAUUAGAGGGAUGACCUAGUCGACUAUGCCAUAAGCUAGAGUUGACUUGAUGACCAAGAAAUGCAGUGGCUGGAAAAAUUGGUUUGGAGGAUGCAUAUCUGGUAGGCAUAGGAAUAGGGUACAAUCCAUUAUUGCAUAGGCCUCUGAACAGUACUCUCCCUGUGACUUUGUCCUGAAUCCAAAAACAGAAAGCAUAAAAAAUUAGCCAACAAUUGUUGUCAAGACAUAGUCUAUGUACUGAGAGCAAGUUUUGAGUAAGUUUAGGCACACAAAGCACAGAGUUCAACUUUAAUUUGUGAGCAGAAGUUUGCAAAACAGAAGAGCCCACAUGGGAUACACUCAAACCUUCACCAUUGGCAGUCAAUCAUUUCUGUGGAUGGAUAUGGUGUAGCUAGAGACAGAUUGCUUAGAUCAGCAGUCAUAUGGUUGGUAGCACCUGAAUCAGUGAGCCAUACUUGUGGAUUCAAUUGUUGGUCCAAAAAUGGCGCUGAGGCAUUAACAUGAUAUGCAUUCAUGGAUGACUGAGAAGUUGGACCAUUGGAAUUUCUGAAGUGACAGAACUGAGCACUGUGGUUUCUUUUUCCACAGAUUUGACAACCAUCAGGAAUUGGAGAAUCAGUGUUCCUAAAUCUGCAUGUAUCAGCAAAGUGACCAUAUUUCCCACAAAUUUGACAUGGUGACACCUGAGAAUUAGAGGAAGAGUAUUGGCUUGAUGGAGAGGUACCAAGGAUCCCUCGAGUUGAAUUGUUAUAAAACUGCUUGCCAUUGAAAGACUUAGAAUUGGAACCAUACUGAAAUUUCCCCCUUCCUUUAUUCUUGUUGUAGAAAGGUCUGUAGCUCGAAGGAUGAUAACCAGAUGAGUUACCAUCAGAAGAUCCACCUCCAGAGGUGAAAUGAGUCCCAGUGUUGAACCCUUUUUCCGUGGACUGUACAGUAGAAUCUCUAGCUACCAUAGCAGACAUAAAUGGAGUAGCAGAUAUAUUUUCAAGCAUGGCUUCCUCAGCAAGAAGUUGAGACAUAAGAUCUUUGAGGGAAAUUACACUGUCUCUUCCUCUAAUAAUCGAACGGAUGGUAUUAAACUCAGCAGAUAAGCCAUUUAGAGUAAGAAUUACUAUAUCCUCAUCAUCAAAUUUCACACUAGCAGCAGACAAGUAAUCUCUAGCCUCUUUGAUCCUUUGCAAAUAUAGAGAGAUCGAAUCAUUACCCUUUUUAAUGUUUUGAAGUGCAGAUUUCAUUUGAAAGAUACUAGUACGAGUCACUAUCGAAAAUUGUUCCUUCAGUCGAUUCCAGAGAUCUUGAGCACUUGUACUGCCAAUAACACACACGACACUGCAGGUGGUGAAAGAGUCGCCGUGAUCAAUUGCAUGAGGGCACGAUCAUGCAUCUUCCAAAUCUUGUAAGCCUCAGAGUCAGCUUGAGUGAAUGAGGGACCAGAAUUAGUCUCUGAUUCACUAGAAGUAGCUGUGAGAAAUCUUGGUGGACAGGGCAUUGAACCAUCAACAAACCCCAUAAUGCCAUAACCUUCGAGCAUCAAUUGAACCUGGAAAUUCCAAGUCAAGUAAUUGGAUUCAUCCAGCUUAACCGUUACAGAAGUAGAAACUGUGGAGAUAAGAGACGUAAUCGGGGACUGAAUGAUUUGUAGUUGAGAAGCCGUCACCAUUAUGAAGUAAUUCGACAAACAAGAACCAAGAAACUUUUGACAAACACCUGGUGUGCAAGAAUGUGUUUCUUGCAGAAAGAGAGAAAGAACACGAUGAAGACCCAAAAAAAAAACAGAAUCAAUUGUUUUCAAGAAGAAACUAAUGGAGAUCAGGAAGAAAGAAGAUGAAAAGCGGAAACGGAAGCAGUAUCACCAAGAUCGAUCACCGAGCGACAAGCUAUUCCGGCGAUGAUACCAUGUAAACCUUACUGUAUUCUGAUAAAGAAGAUAGAAGGAAGAUGACGAGGGAAAUGUUUACAGAGAGGGAGAGAGAGAGAGGGAAGAAAGAUCUUUUUUCCAUUCAACAUACACACACACACUGAUUACUGUUAUAUAUCAGUUUACAUGUUUACACAUUCCUUAUAACUACCCAAUCUAACUUCCUUCCUUAUCUAAUGACAAGUGGCAUCUUAUAAGCCAUUGGAUCACUAUCCUCAACAACCAGUACUUCCAAGAAUUUUACUCAAUCUCCCUUGCUUUCUCCUUGUUAUUUGGGCGAUGUGAGACGAAAACUAGCUCUGGGUUUCUUACUUUUUAUUGGGGUUGUUUACAGCAGUUGAUGAUCCUUCCAUUGUUGCAAGUAUUUCCCAAGAAACUUCUGGGUGCAAUUGUGUGUGUGUGUGUGUGUGUGUAACAUUGACAUACAUGCUUCAAUCAAACAGAACCCUCAUCAUACAUAAAUAUAUAUUGCUUUGUUUAUAAAUUUGAUGUGUUUUAAGCUCUGCACUUUGUAUAACCUUUUAUGAAAGGCUAAAUUGAUUUAGUGGAUGUAAGAAUCUGUCAAGUAUGUGUGAUUAGAGAAUUAGUCACUUGAAUUACAUAGAGUCCGAUUUUUGCUUUAUUCUAAAAUGCAUUUUCUAAUUAAACGAAGAUGGAGCUGGACAAAUAGUGACCCAAAUUAUGUUAUAUAAUGAAUUGACGAUGAUUUAUUUUGAAUGAACGCUUCUAUUCAACAUGAUGUGAAAUUAAAUUUCUUACUUGUUGGGAAAUGAUGUUGGUACACUGAGAUUUAUAGUUAUAGACGGAAAGUAUAAGAUUAGCUUGUAUUUUUUACGCACUUCAAAAUAUAUUCUCUGUUAUUGGAAGUACCUUUGGGGUUGAGUGAAUCAAAUGCACGGUUAGGUCCAUGUAAUAAGUAAGUACUAAGUAGAGACUCUGUCUUCCUAGGUAAAGACCCCAAAGAAAGUCAGUACGCAUGGGUAUACUGGUGGCCUUAUUUCGAUGUAGUGGCCAUGACCUUUUGUUAGAGCUUAUAGACAUGACAUUGAGGCCUGACCAAGAUGUUUAGAACCAAGAUUGAGAAACGUUGAUAAAGGAUUUCAUAAAUAAAAUAACGUAUAAUCAACCGGGGUUUUUAGAAUAACCAUGAAAUCUUCUAUUGAGGUGAGUUAGUAGCAUAGGUAUAGAUUUAUUUAUUAAGGUGAACUACGAAUGGUUUGAUCCCUAUUUAGGGUACGUAGGCAGUCUAACGAGGAAGUUAGAUGCAGCCAUAAAGCAUACGAAAAAUUACUAUGGAAUUGGGACUUGAGUUGUGCUUUGUUCGUAGUAAGUUAGAUAUACAGGCAUUUGGUGGCGUCACGUGUUGAUCCUGGACGUAUGUUGGGAUCGGGGUGUGACAACAAUACUCCACCGCAAUAUUGCAAUAUUUCAACAAACAGUGACUACAUAUACCUUGUAUUUUCAGUACAAAACUACUAAAACAAGUUCAAGUAUUCGGUUGCCUAUGACAUAAAUUAUAUAAAUUUGUAAAGUUCUUCCAAAAUAUUUUCGCGUGGCUUUACCUUGUACUUUCAGUGAGGGACUACUAAAAGAAGUUGAAAUAUCCAUUCCUUAUGACCGAAACUAUAGACACAUUUUGUUACAUCUCAACCGAAAUAUCUUUAUGUAUUGGUUGUUUUGUCUACCAAAACUGUAUCGUGGUUUUUAGUUUGGCCAUUAGUAUGACACUGUUAAACCUGAUGUACAACAACAACAACAACAACAACAACAACAACAAAGCCUUUUCCCACUAAGUGGGGUCGGCUAUAUGAAUCCUAGAACGCCAUUGCGCUCGGUUUUGUGUCAUGUCCUCUGUUAGAUCCAAGUACUCUAAGUCUUUUCUUAGAGUCUCUUCCAAAGUUGUCCUAGGUCUUUCUCUACCCCUUCGGCCCUGAACCUCUGUCCCGUAGUCACAUCUUCGAACCGGAGCGUCAGUCGGCCUUCUUUGCACAUGUUCAAAAUCACCGGAGCCGAUUUUCUCUCAUCUUUCCUACAAUUUCGGCUACUCCUACUUUACCUCGGAUAUCCUCAUUCCCAAUCUUAUCCUUUCUCGUGUGCCCACACAUCCCACGAAGCAUCCUCAUCUCCGCUACACCCAUUUUGUGUACGUGUUGAUGCUUCACCACCCAACAUUCUGUGCCAUACAACAUCGCUAGCCUUAUUGCCGUCCUAUAAAAUUUUCCCUUGAGCUUCAGUGGCCUACGACGGUCACACAACACGCCGGAUGCACUCUUUCCAUCCAGCUCGUAUUCUAUGGUUGAGAUCUCCAUCUAAUUCUCCGUUCUCUUGCAAGAUAGAUCCUAGGUAGCGAAAACGAUCGCUUUUUGUGAUCUUCGCUAGAUUGCUCCGGUCAUUAGUGUGGAUAAGUAUAUAAAUGGAUAGAGAUAGGAAAGCAAACACAAGAUGUACGUGGUUCACCCAGAUUGGCUACGUCGUCCACGGAAUAGAAGAGUUCUCAUUAAUUGUGAAGGGUUUACACAAGUACAUAAGUUCAAGCUCUCAUUUAGUGAGUACAAGUGAAUGAUUUAGUACAAAUGACAUUAGGAAAUAUUGUGGGAGAAUGAUCUCGUAAUCACGAAACUUUCUAAGUAUCGGAGUGUGGUGUCGUCUUGACUUGCCUUAUCUGUCUCAUAGGUAGAUGUGGCAUCUUCUCUGGAAGUACUCUUCCUCCAUCCAGGGGUGGUAUCUUUAACUGGUGGAGAUGCACAAGGUAAUGUAUCAAUUUCACUUGAAGCUUACUUGUAGUUUCAGGCUUGGUCAAGCGCGAUACAAAACCAUGUAGUAGGAGUCCCCCAAGUCGCCGAGCUAGGGGGUCUGCUGAAAGAGGUGACAGACAAGGUAAGCAAUCAGAGCUCCGACUGAUUGUUCACCUUCUCCCCAUCUUGCAGCAGCAUGAAGGAUAAAGAGAAGAAAAAUGAGAAGAGAUGAUAUGAGAUACUUUUGCUUUUGAAGAAGUAACUUUCCACAGGCUUAUUCUUGAACUGAGCUGGAGGGUUUUCUGGUUUUCUCCAGAGUAUAAAGCCGACUGAAGAAUUUGAGGGUCAAAACAAGUCCAUCAAAUCUAGAGUACGUUCCACCCUGCUGAUAUGGGAUACUUUUGCUUUUGACAGAGUAAUGAAUGUAUCGGCACGUGUGCUGUUACGCUUGUCUCCAUAUGCUUCCUUGUAUCCUUCGCACUUGCCCUAUCUGUUCCUCAAGCAGAUGCGGAAUCUUCCCUGGAAACAUAAGAUGUUGAAGAUGAGUACUCGAGAGCAAUGCCAGGUAAGUAAUCAGGUAAGGGGUUCCAGGCAGUCAGUUCCUGGCUGGAAGCUUGAUUCCAAGUGCUGACUGAUUGCUCUCUUUCUCAUUGUCUUGCAGGUAAAAACAAGGCCAAAAGAAAAGACAGGGAAAAAACAUGAUAUGGGAUACUCUUGCUUUUAACCCUGAUGAUAUGAGAUAUUCUUGCUCUAGUAUAGCUUGUUUGCAGAGGUAUUAUCGGGGGGAAAGAAAGAUGAAUAUUUUGAAAGGCUUCGUUGGGAGUGCCCUUUCAGAUAUGAUGAAGGGUUGAGCAUUUUUGCAGGUCUGCCUGUCCGUUGGGGAUGGAGGUCGACAUAUAUAGGAGUCUCCCUAACAACAAGUAGUAAUGCUAUUCCUUUACCCUGCUUGGUCAUCAUAGCACGGUAGUGGGAGCUGCCAGUUUCACAUGUUUUAACUCUGUCAGAGCACUUUGAAAAAGUGGUCUGUGGUAUCUGGCUCUCGAGAUUCGGAGAACGAUGCCUCUUCGAUUUUUGAGAAAGCAAUCAUGCUGGGGGUAUGACUCUCGAGAUUCGGAGAGCAGUGUCUCUUCGAUUUUUGAGGAAGUAAUCAUGUUGGGAGUCUGGCUCUCGAGAUUCGGAGGGCGGUGCCUCUUCGAUUUUGGAGCAAGCAAUCUUGUUGGGAGUGUUGUCUCGAAUGUGAGUAAAGGUUGGGCAUGUUUGCUAGUCUACCUUGCCACGAAGCACAAAGGUUGACACACAGGGACUUUCCAAUUAUCCAGCAAUGGUACUGUUCCUUUACCCUCUCUUCGAUUUUGAGAAAGUAGUCAUGUUGGGAGUCUGGCUCUCGAGAUUCGGAGGACGGUGCCUCUUCGAUUUUGGAGCAAGCAAUCUUAUUGGGAGUGUUUUCUCGAAUGUGAGUAAAGGUUAGGCAUGUUUGCUAGUCUACCUUGCCACGAAGCACAGAGGUUGACACACAGGGACUUUCCAAUUAUCCAGCAGUGGUACUGUUCCUUUACAGUUGUGGGUAAUAAUAUGGUAGCUAGACCUUCAAAAUUUAUGUGUCUAAACUUUUGUUAGUGCUGUUUCUUUGCUAUUCUUUUACCUUUCUUGGUCAGAGCGAUGUAGUGGGAGCUGCAAGCUUCACGUGCUCAACUUUGGCAGAGAACUUUGGCAAAGUUAUUUGUGGUACCCAUGAGCUAUUGUUGCGUGUGGGAAGUGGGUGAUUGAACAGUAAGAUUCAUGUGCUUUCUACUUCACCAGAAGUCUUCGAUAGAAUGCCCAUAAUUUCUACAAAGCUGAGUGUGCGUGUGACAGGUGCUGACAAGGCUAGAAAAGUAGGUGCUUCUUCGAUUUCUGAGAUCGGCCCUCGUGGUCUCUAAGCAGCCCAGCUUUUGAGAAAGCGAGCGCCUCUUCGAUUGAUUCGGAGAACGAUGCCUCAUCGAUUUUUGAAAAAGCAAUCAUGCUGGGGGUCUGGCUCUGGAGAUUCGGGGAGCAGUGUCUCUUCGAUUUUUGAGAAAGUAAUCAUGUUGGGAGUCUGGCUCUCGAGAUUCGGAGGGCGGUGCCUCUUCGAUUUUGGAGCAAGCAAUCUUGUUGGGAGUGUUUUCUCGAAUGUGAGUAAAGGUUGGGCAUGUUUGCUAGUCUACCUUGCCACGAAGCACAGAGGUUGACACACAGGGACUUUUCAAUUAUCCAGCAAUGGUACUGUUCCUUUACCCUCUCUUCGAUUUUUAAGAAAGUAGUCAUGUUGGGAGUCUGGCUCUCGAGAUUCGGAGGACGGUGCCUCUUCGAUUUUGGAGCAAGCAAUCUUAUUGGGAGUGUUUUCUCGAAUGUGAGUAAAGGUUGGGCAUGUUUGCUAGUCUACCUUGCCACGAAGCACAGAGGUUGACACACAGGGACUUUCCAAUUAUCCAGCAGUGGUACUGUUCCUUUACCCUUGUGGGUAAUAAUAUGGUAGCUAGACCUUCAAAAUUUAUGGGUCUAAACUUUGUUAGUGCUGUUUCUUUGCUAUUCUUUUACCCUUCUUGGUCAGAGCGAUGUAGUGGGAGCUGCAAGCUUCACGUGCUCAACUUUGGCAGAGAACUUUGGCAAAGUUAUUUGUGGUACCCAUGAGCUAUUGUUGCGUGUGUGGGAAGUGGGUGAUUGAAUAGUAAGAUUCAUGUGUUUUCUACUUCCCCAGAAGUCUUUGACAGAAUGCCCAUAAUUUCCGCAAAACUGAGUGUGCGUGUGACAGGUGCUGACAAGGCUGGAAAAGGCUGGAAAAGUAGGUGCCUCUUCGAUUUCUGAUAUCGGCCCUAGUGGUCUCUGGGGAGCCCAGCUUUUGAGAAAGCGAGCGCCUCUUCGAUUUUUGAGAUCGGCCUUCGUGGUGGUCUUUGAGCAGCCCAACUUUUGAGAAAGCAAACGCCUCUUCGAUUUCUGAGAUCAACCCUCGUGAUCUCUAAGCAGCCCAGCUUUUGAGAAAGCAAACGCCUCUUCGAUUUCUGAGCAGGCGCCUCUUCGAUUUCUGAAGCUUCGUCGAGUGCAGAUUUUUAUAGGGGCUGUCAUUAAGUUCCAAAGCACACUUGAAUCUCCACCAGUAGAAGCUUCAUUCUUGCACUUCUAAGAUCUUGAUUUGUCCGACCUCUUCUCUCUUCAACACCUUUGAAAAUGUCUGGCCCCUCCGACCGUCGUUUUGACUUGAACCUUGUUGAAGAGGCAGCCCCGCCUUCUCCAGACAACAUAUGGCGCCCAUCCUUCGUCUCCCCUACUGGUCCUCUUACCGUUGGGGAUUCCGUGAUGAAGAAUGAUAUGACCGCUGCGGUGGUGGCCAGGAACCUUCUCACUCCCAAAGAUAACAGACUACUUUCCAAACGGUCUGAUGAGUUAGCUGUUAAGGAUUCGCUGGCUCUCAGUGUUCAGUGUGCAGGUUCUGUGUCUAAUAUGGCCCAACGCCUAUUUGCUCGAACCCGCCAAGUUGAAUCAUUGGCGGCUGAAGUGAUGAGUCUCAAACAGGAGAUUAGAGGGCUCAAGCAUGAGAAUAAACAAUUGCACCGGCUCGCACAUGACUAUGCUACAAACAUGAAGAGGAAGCUUGACCAGAUGAAGGAAACUGAUGGUCAGGUUUUACUUGAUCAUCAGAGAUUUUGUGGGUUUGUUCCAAAGGCAUUUAUUGCCUUCGUCUUCUGGGGCUGUACCGCGUAAUGAAGCUCCAAAUGAUCAACCUCUGAUGCCUCCUUCUAGGGUUCUGUCCAGUACUGAGGCUCCAAAUGAUCCCCCUCCGGUGCCUUCUCUUUCUGGGGCUCUACCGACUGUUGAGACUUCUCCUAAGCAACCUUUGUGAAGGCUCCCUCUUGUGUGCUUAUUUUGACUCAUGUAUAUGUACAUAUUUGUAGCUUAUCGGGGAUAUCAAUAAAUAAGCUUUCCUUCAUUUCAACGUAUUGUGUUAAAUACACCAAAGCCUUCUUCGCUAAGUUCUUUGAAUUUUCUUUUGUUAAAGCUUGUAUGUUGAAGCUUUCUGAGUGGAGCAUGUAGGUUGGGGUAGUGUUCCCUUAAUUUCCCGAGUGAGGAAAACUUCUCGGUUGGAGACUUGGAAAAUCCAAGUCACUGAGUGGGAUCGGCUAUAUGAAUCUUAGAACGCCAUUGUGCUCGAUCCUGUGUCAUGUCCUUCGUUAGAUCCAAGUACUCUAAGUCUUUUCUUAGAGUCUCUUCCAAAGUUUUCCUAGGUCUUCCUCUACCCCUUCGGCCCUGAACCUCUGUCCCAUAGUCGCAUCUUCUAAUCGGAACGUCAGUAGUAGGCCUUCUUUGCACAUGUCCAAACCACCGUAACCGAUUUUCUCUCAUCUUUCCUUCAAUUUCGGCUACUCCUACUUUACCCCGGAUAUCCUCAUUCCUAAUCUUAUCCUUUCUCGUGUGCCCACACAUCCAACGAAGCAUCCUCAUCUCCGCUACACCCAUUUUGUGUACGUGUUGAUGUUUCACCGUCCAACAUUCUGUGCCAUACAGCAUCGCCGGCCUUAUUGCCGUCCUAUAAAAUUUUCCCUUGAGCUUCAGUGGCAUACGGCGGUCACACAACACGCCGGAUGCACUCUUCCACUUCAUCCAUCCAGCUUGUAUUCUAUGGUUGAGAUCUCCAUCUAAUUCUCCGUUCUUUUGCAAGAUAGAUCCUAGGUAACAAAAACGGUCGCUCUUUGGUAUUUCUUGAUCUCCGAUCCUCACCCCUAACUCGUUUUGGCCUCCAUUUGCACUGAACUUGCACUCCAUAUAUUCUGUCUUUGAUCGGCUUAGGCGAAGACCUUUAGAUUCCAACACUUCUCUCCAAAGGUUAAGCUUUGCAUUUACCCCUUCCUGAGUUUCAUCUAUCAACACUAUAUCGUCUGCGAAAAGCAUACACCAAGGAAUAUCAUCUUGAAUAUGUCGUGUUAACUCAUCCAUUACCAACGCAAAAAGGUAAGGACUUAAGGAUGAGCCUUGAUGUAAUCCUACAGUUAUGGGAAAGCUUUCGGUUUGUCCUUCAUGAGUUCUUACAGCAGUCUUUUGCUCCUUCAUACAUAUCCUUUAUAGCUUGGAUAUAUGCUACUCGUACUCCUUUUCUUCUCUAAAAUCCUCCAAAGAAUGUCUCUUGGGACCCUAUCAUACGCUUUUUCCAAAUCUAUAAAGACCAUGUGUAAAUCCUUUUUCCCAUCUCUAUAUCUUUCCAUCAAUCUUCGUAAGAGAUAGAUUGCCUCCAUGGUUGAGCGCCCUGGCAUGAACCCGAAUUGGUUAUCCGAAACCCGUGUCUCUUGCCUCAAUCUAUGCUCAAUGACUCUCUCCCAGAGCUUCAUUGUAUGACUCAUUAGCUUAAUACCCCUAUAGUUCAUGCAAUUUUGUACGUCGCCCUUAUUCUUGUAGAUAGGCACCAAAGUGCUCAUUCGCCACUCAUUUGGCAUCUUCUUCGUUUUCAAAAUCCUAUUGAAAAGGUCAGUGAGCCAUGUUAUACCUGUCUCUCCCAAAAGUUUCCACACUUCGAUUGGUAUAUCGUCUGGGCCUAUUGCUUUUUUAUGCUUCAUCUUCUUCAAAGCUACAACCACUUCUUCCUUCCGGAUUCGACGAUAAAAAGAGUAGUUUCUACACUCUUCUGAGUUACUCAACUCCCAUAAAGAAGCACUCAUUUCAUGUCCUUCAUUGAAAAGAUUAUGAAAAUAACAUCUCCAUCUAUCUUUAACCGCGUUCUCUGUAGCAAGAACCUUUCCAUCCUCAUCCUUGAUGCACCUCACUUGGUUUAGGUCCCUUGUCUUCUUUUCCCUUGCUCUAGAUAGUUUAUAGAUAUCCAACUCUCCUUCUUUGGUAUCUAGUCGUUUAUACAUAUCGUUGUAAGCCGCUAACUUAGCUUCUCUGACAGCUUUCUUCGCCUCUUGCUUCGCUUUUCUAUACCUUUCACCAUUUUCAUCAGUCCUCUCCUUGUAUAAGGCUUUACAACAUUCCUUCUUAGCCUUCACCUUUAUUUGUACCUCCUCAUUCCACCACCAAGAUUCCUUUUGGUGUGGGGCAAAGCCCUUGGACUCUCCUAAUACCUCUUUUGCUACUUUUCGGAUACAACUAGCCAUGGAAUCCCACAUUUGGCUAGCUUCCCCCUCUCUAUCCCACACACAUUGGGUGAUUACCUUCUCUUUGAAAAUGGCUUGUUUUUUCUUCUUUUAGAUUCCACCAUCUAGUCCUUGGGCACUUCCAAGUCUUGUUCUUUUGUCUUACUCUUUUGAUAUGUACAUCCAUCACCAACAAGCGAUGUUGAUUAGCCACGCUCUCUCUCCUGGUAUAACUUUGCAAUCCUUACAAGUUAUACGAUCCCCUUUCCUCAUUAGAAGAAAAUCUAUUUGUGUUUUUGACGACCCACUCUUGUAGGUGAUCACAUGUUUCUUCUCUCUUCUUAAAGAAGGUGUUGGCUAAGAAGAGAUCAUAUGCCAUUGCAAAAUCCAAGAUAGCUUCCCCAUCCUCGUUUCUCUCCCCAAAACCAUGGCCACCAUGAAAACCUCCAUAGUUGCCUGUCUCCCUGCCCACGUGUCCAUUUAAAUCUCCUCCUAUAAAUAACUUCUCCGUCUGAGCAAUUCCUUGCACCAAGUCUCCAAGAUCUUCCCAAAAUUUCUCCUUCGAACUCGUAUCCAACCCUACUUGAGGUGCGUACGCACUAAUCACAUUGAUAAGUUCUUGUCCUAUUACAAUCUUGAUUGCCAUGAUUCUAUCUCCUACCCUCUUGACAUCUACAACAUCUUGUACCAAGGUCUUGUCCACGAUUAUGCCAACACCGUUUCUCGUUCUAUUUGUGCCCGAAUACCAAAGUUUAAACCCUGAGUUUUCUAGAUCCUUUGCCUUACUACCAACCCACUUAGUUUCUUGUAGGCACAUAAUAUUUAUCCUUCUCCUCACCAUAACUUCCACUACUUCCAUAGAUUUUUCCCGUUAAGGUUCCUAUAUUCCACGUUCCUAAACGCAUUUUGCUCUCUUGAACUCUACCCUUCUGUCCUAGCUUCUUCACCCUCCCCCGUCUAAUAGGAUCAAAGUACUUCUUUUGUGUGUCCCGGGUAAAGUUGAUAGGAGCAUAUGCUCCCAAACAACUUUGAGUGGAGUCGUUCGAAAAGAAGUUUCUAUGGCCCCCUUGCUCAUUUAACACUGCAUCCGGGUGCCGAUGGAGAUACAGCGACCCUUGCUCACUUAUCACUGUGCUCAGGCCACACAGCGCGCCACUUACGGGUGACGCCCUAGCUUUAGCGCGAUUUUGUUCUGGAUUCAUUUUCAUAAGGAUUCGACGUGAUCAUGGAGUGCCGGCUGUCGACUACCUGACGCCCUCCCCCUCCUCCUUUAUCCGGGCUUGGGACCAGCCAUGUAAGACAUAGGCGGAGUUACUGUUAAACCUGAUGUAAAAUGAAAAAAAUAUGAAUCGUGCUUCAUGUGGAGGGUAGGUUUAAUUACUUUGUUCAAAAUGAAGCCAUGUCUCGUGGUUUAGGGUUUGACCAAUAAUAUGAUAUUGUCUGCCGAAGGAUCUUCUUCGGCGUGUAAUUAUAUGCACCUUCAGUGAUUAGGGUUUACUUUGUUCUACAACGAAGGACGAGAGCAAGUUUAGGAGCUUGAAGAAAAAUAGUCUUGAGAUGUAGGUUCUUACGUUGGAUUAUUUGUGGUGCAUGUGUAUAGAGAAAACAAAGUUUUAUGGUCAAACCGGAUUAAUGAUUCCUAUGGUGAUAUGGUAUUCAAGAUAGUCCAUGUGAUAAACAAAUUAGGAUAUGAACCCUUGCGGUGAAGAUUGUUGGCAAAUUGGGUUGUUUAGAUAUAGACCCUUAUAACUAUUAUCGUCUAGACAAAAACCCACCUCAUAUUAAACAUCCAAAUAAAAUCCAAAAUUCAAAAAGUCUGUCAUAUUGGCAAAUAAAUGACCUAUCCUUAUAAAAUAUUUACAACUUAUGCCAUAAUGACCUAAAUAUUUCAAUGGAUAUUAUUAUUACUCACCUUCAAUUAUGCUAGCAAUGAGCAAUUUUAAAACCACGUAUUACAGACUAUUUACCCAUAUUUUAAAAAUUCACUAAUUUACCUACAUUCUUUUGAUACAAACUAAUUACCUAUAUUUUAAAAAUUCACUAAUUUACCUACAUUCUUUUGUUACAAGCUAAUUUAUCUGCAUUUUUGUAGUACAUACUAAUUCACCAAUCUAUAAAUGGGGGUAAGGCUAGCCGACAUUCACCUCUCCCAGACCCUGCGUAAAGCGGGAGCCUUGUGCACUGGGUACGACCUUUUAUACUAAUUCACCAAUCUACUUAUUAAUUUACCUAUACAAAUAAUACUGUCAUAUAAUUAAUUAUAAUAUCCAAAGUAAUCAUAUACAUUUUUUUUCUUUACAAUAUCACGUCUAUGGGGAAGGUAAAUUAUUUUUACAGUAUUUCUAAUCUAAGUGGGUACUAACAUAUAGAUAGGUAAAUUAUUUUCUAUGAAAAGAAAAAAAAAUACAACCAUUAAUUUGUAUAAUUUUUUUGACACAAAUUAUUUGUCCAUGUUUCAACGUAAAACACCAUAAUAUUUUUAUUUAUAUUAUAUAUUGCAUUGAAAAGAAAGCCUAAUCAAACAAUAGGUUAAUUGACAUUUAAUUGCAUUGAAAACAAUAAAAUGCAAAAUUUAUUAAUAAUCAUAAGUCAAACCUAACUCACGUUACACUCUAUGAGUGUAUUUUAGGAACAUGAGAAUUAUAAAAACUGACAUUCCAAGCUUGUUAAGGAAAUUUGAUUAGUUGGACUCUAGUACUGACAUUCCAAACUUGUUAAGGAAAUUUGAUUAGUUGGACUCUAGUAAAUGGGGUUUAAGUCUGAAAAAAUAAAGAGGAUGGGUUUUAAGUGAGAAAAUAAGUUUUAAGGGGGGAACUCUCAUUUUGAGUUUUGGUAACCUUCUUCUCUCUUCCUUUCUCUGUGUCCUCAACUCUCUGAUCUCCAGGCUCUCAGACAUUUAUUCUUUCUGUUAACAUUCUUCUCUUUCUCUUUCUAAAUUUUGUCUCCGUCAAUGGAUUGAUGUGCGCAAAUUUAAUUCAAACAUAUAGUACUAAUUAAAAUAGCGGAAUUGCAAAAUGAAGCAAACAGAUGAUAAAACAAAGAAAGAUUAAUAAACUUAGCCAAGAAGAAUAAUAUGAGUAAGUAGCGUUAUAGCUUCAUUUAUUGGGGAAUAUGUUACACGCACAUCCUUUUUGAUCAAGUACUUCUCUCAUCCUUUUUGAUCACUUGAUUAACAAUUUAGUUCAAGUAAAUGGCCAAGAAGGACAAGAGUGAAGCUCCAACCAGAGAUCCAACGGCGUUCAUGCUACUUCCAUUAGGUGCUGGAGUAGAAGCUACAGGGCCAGCUGUGGCUGCAGCGGCGGGGGUGGCUGCAGCGGUGGUGGCUGCAGUGGGGGUGGCUGCAGAGGUGGUGGCUGCAGCGCCCUUUACAGGUGCAGCAGCCAUUGCUGCGCUGAUGCAGACGGCAACUACGAGGACAACCAAGGCAAUCUUCUUCAUGGCCAUUUUGCGAGCGGCGUGUGGUCGGUCAAUGAAUCGAAAACACACCUUGCAAUAGGAAUGUUAAGAGGCUCGUAGAAGUUUGUAGCUGUCCUGAGGAAUAUAGGAGGGCAGUGGGAGGUAUAUAUAGCUUUCUAUGGAGGAGGAUUUUGUUAUUUUUGGGAUGAAAUCUGUUGGAUGUUGUUUGAGGUUUGGAAGGGUUAGUACGUACGUGUAUGGUUUUGCAUGAACAACGCCUACGUGCAUGGGUAUAACAAACUAACAAAUUAAUUAAGUAAUAAAUACCAAGAAUAUAGGAGGAUAUGACCAAUAUUUAUACGUAUUUUGUACCAUUGUAUGUGAAGGUAAUACCAUGCAUAAUUACAGACUGAAAAAUGCGAGAAAUGCCACGUUUUUGUAGUACAUUUAUAUAUGUCCCAUCUAAUGUGUGGCCAAUGAUUAUCUAAUACUUAAAUUCGUCAACAAGAAUUACAUUCAAAUUGAAUCGACCUAAUGUGAAUCCGUUGAUAAUCAAAUUAUCGAAUUCAUAACAUUUUAUAGAUCAUCAACCUUAAUUUAUCAAAUUGAGAACUAUUAAGCAUCAAAUUCGUAUAAUUUAUUGUGGGAUUCUCUUAAGACCUAAACAAAUUAAAUCCUUAAUAGUAUGUGCUUUAUUUUCUUGAAAUGUUGGUAUAGUUCUAAAUACAGAAGAAAACUAGUAGUCUUUUUUGAAGAAAAACUUGGAUAAGGAUAUCCAAUCACAUAUAUCAUUCGUAAAAUAUUUAUGUCAAACAUCAAAUUAUUGUAUUAAAAUUUCACUCGACCUCACAAGAUUUCACUCAGUGUGAGCUCUACCAAAUAUUUACUCCUAUCUUUAGCGGUGAAUCAAGAAAUCUUUCAUGUGAAAACAAAACAUUUUCCUUCAUUGAUCUUUUCUUUGGUAAAGCAUCAUUUUUGAAGUUUCUUUACUCAACGGUCUAGAUAUUGCCACCCUAUACAACAAAGACAACAACCGACCAAUAGAGCCGUUAUGGGGACCACAAAAGGAACAAAAGGCUGACACGUCACCUUCCAAUCGUGGGGCCACAGGACAUAACGGGAGAGUAACGUUACCAUCCUCGUACUCAUAUUUUUGUUUGAAAAGUUUCAAAGUUUAAUUACAAAUAAUUAAAAUUAAAACGGUCUAUAAAUACAUGUCCCUCAGUCCCUCACCUUAUUCACUCAGCCUUGAACCCAGACGGACACACACACUCUCUCUCUCUCUCUCUCCCUCUCUCCCUCCCUCCCUCGCAGUUCGCUCAAUCCAUUCUUUGUUCCUCUCUCUAGAAAUGGCGCAAGUUAGCAUCUGCAAAGCUGUGUUCGUGAUGGUAAUCGCCAUUGUGCUCGUCUCAGUUACAGCUCAGGAUAGCGCGCCAGCACCAUCACCUGCAUUGGACGCUGGAGCCGGAGUUCCAGUGACCAUUUCCGGCGCUUUUGUUUACUCUUCGUUGCUCCUCUCUUUCUUUGCGCUGCUGCGGCAUUAGGGAGAUUUGAGACUGAGAUUGCUAUUUGAUUAUUGUGGUAUUUUCUGUAUCCUUUUGGAGAGUGGAUUUCAUCAUUUGUUAUUGUAUAUCGCUUCAUCCCAAUAUAUAAUACAGUACUGGUCUGAAUGUGCUAUUUUUGGCCUUCAAAUUUGCAUUUCUAGCGCCAACGGCCGCAGUGUAGCGGCCAUGGCCAUCUCUUUGGCCCGAUCUGACAGCGUAUACAAGCCUCAAAAAGUUGAUUGGUAUUUUGAUUAACCACUUGAAAACAAUGUUCUACCAAUUAAUUUGAAGUUCAGAAGCUAACUUAGACGCAAUGCCUACUUUACAUUUGACAUGCCUACUCACAAGUUCAUAACCUACGGGCAAGUAACAGCAGAACUUGCAGCCGAAGUCCACUCGAGAAUGUUAAAAUCUACCAUCCUAAAGUAUUCAUAUUCUAACAAUGGCAAUGGUGUCGUGUAGGGGAAUUCUUACUUGAAUUUCCCGUUGUGUAGACCAAUAGCAAUUCUAACUUCUUGUUGAUCUCAAAUAUUUCGGAUCUUUCUGAUCCCCUACAAGUUUAGAAUCGCCAUUGGUCUCGACAACAAGAAAUUCCACUACAUCGCUACCACACUGUAUAUAUGGCUACCACACUGUAGCCAGUAUACAAGAAUCUCCUACACAGCCUUUGCCAUUGUUAGAGCUCAACCAAGAAUCAGUACAAAUAUUUCGGCUUUUGUUGAUCCUCUUAACUCAUCAUCCAGCAAUAACUAAUCCUUGAAGGUGGGUUGUCGAAAAAAACAACCACCAACAUCCAUAUCUUGUUGAAUGAUUUCUAUGUUCUAUAACCAAUAACUUUGGCCAAGUAUUUCUAGAGUUUCAAGUUCGGGUUGGACCUAAAUAACUUCC